GGCCCAUAAGCUCAGCCCGUUAGAGCGUCGUGCUUCAAACGCGGAGGAGCAGGAUCGAUUCCUGGGUGGGCCC
This 73-nucleotide transfer RNA is filed under the name Marchantia polymorpha subsp. ruderalis. It matches the Rfam family "tRNA". From Rfam's summary of the family: Transfer RNA (tRNA) molecules are approximately 80 nucleotides in length. The record is from Rfam by way of RNAcentral. Lineage: Eukaryota; Viridiplantae; Streptophyta; Marchantiopsida; Marchantiales; Marchantiaceae.